Molecule: long non-coding RNA, 591 nt
Organism: Trichechus manatus latirostris (Florida manatee)
Lineage: Eukaryota; Metazoa; Chordata; Mammalia; Sirenia; Trichechidae
Exons: 3
Source: RefSeq, a predicted model, not a curated record
GUGGCCAAAAAAACCUCUCAGCUCACUGCUGCCGCCGCCGCAGGCAGACACAGCACUUCCUAGAAAAUCGCCAUUCCGUUUACUGUUUAUUCUUUGGAGGGUCACUUGUUUCCCAUCAGCUCUUGCAGCGGCGAAGGUGGAUUUCUCAGCACAUCUCAUGAGACGUCUCCAUGAAUGGGAAAAGAGAUGCAGACACAGCCGGCCCUCCGUAUCCCUGGGGUCCACGCUGAGGAUCCGAAAAAAUAUUCAGAAAAAGAAAUGAUUCAGAAUGUGAUAAAGUGCUUGCAAAGACUGAGGAAGCAUUCAUUAAUUCGACUCCAUGGGACCGCAGUGGUGGGAAUGGACAUGGUUAACUGGAGAGUCUCUACAUAGUUGUUAGUUACGGUCCAGUCUGCUCUAACUCACGGUGACCUUGUGCAUAACGGAACGAAACGGCGCCAUCUCUACAGUCAUUGGUACGUUGGAGUCCAUUGUGGUGGCUGUUGUGUAAUCCACCACUUUGAGGGUCUCCCUUGUUUUUGCUGACCCUCUACUUUACCAAACAGGAGGUCCUUUUCUAGUGAUUGGUCUUUCCUGAUGACACGUCCAGCG